This is a long non-coding RNA of Hypomesus transpacificus, 1059 nucleotides long. RefSeq lists it as uncharacterized. Lineage: Eukaryota; Metazoa; Chordata; Actinopteri; Osmeriformes; Osmeridae. The record is from RefSeq and is a predicted model, not a curated record. The transcript is spliced from 3 exons.
UGGCUGGUGAGUUUUCCAACUUGCACACAUACAAACGGACAGGUGUGCACUGAGAACGUAAAUUGAACUACUGGGAAAAUAAGCUUUAAUUUAGGAUACAGGAAACAAAACGUCUGAAUGAAGUCAGAAAUGACUCUACUGUAACGUCCAGCUGGUGCUGUUGCCCCCCAUUCCAAAACUGAGUACUGUCAUGGUAAUCAUGGACCAUCUUGUGCCGUCCGGGAAAUGACGGAUGGUUAAAAGUGAGGCAGUUCAGCAGAAGGCUUUUCCAUGCUCCCUGUCUGUCCUAUCCAUUAGACCACGUUUGUCACAUGAGGGUCAUUUAGUCGGCACAGUGUUGUAAAAUUGGCUUUUUGACAUGGCCACCAGUACAAAGGCCCCCCUCUCCUCUGUGUUUGGCCUUUUAGAGUGCAGAUGGCCCAGACAGCUGGGACAAUUUAGUGAUCUGAGGCUCUUAAACUGGCCCCCAGGCAUGAUAAAACCAGCUUGACUAGCCACUAGCAUAUUCUGGAUUGUUUCAAGGGCUUUUAAGAGGGAAUUGAUCAGGAUACUAAAACAGGAUUAUCUACGAUGAGCUAAACAAAUGUAUGUUGUAUAAUAACCAUUCUGAUAGUUCAUUUUAAUGCAUAAAGUUGGGUCGAGUGCUGAUUUCAGUUGGUGUAACACGAACAAACAGCUGUUGUGUAAUGUUAUCACUUGGAUGUGGGUGCAAUCAGUUUGCCACCUAAAGGGAAGUCUUUUAUUUGAAUUCUUUAAAUGGUUAAGAUGUUACAAUGAUGUCAUAAAAAAUGGCCCAGACCUCCUUGGUUUUGCCUUGGCUCGAGGCCGCUCAGUCACAGAGGCCCAGCGAGUAUGUGAGGCUGCAGGCCUGAUCAACCCUCUCAACAGCUGUUUAAUGAACACAGGGACCCCUUUUUUCUCUGGAAAUGAGUUUUCCCUUGAAAACUGUGGAAGCCGUAUCCAGGUCUAUUUAAAUGAGGUAACAUGGGGAAGGUAAGCACCACCACAUGAGCAUUGUUUUCACAGUUCAAAGUGAGGAGAGAGUACUUUGCACUUCAA